UACGUAGGGACCAAGCGUUGCUCGGAAUUACUGGGCGUAAAGGGCUCGUAGGCGGCCAACUAAGUCCGACGUGAAAUCCCAAGGCUUAACCUUGGAACUGCGUCGGAUACUGGAUGGCUUGAAUUCGGGAGAGGGAUGCAGAAUUCCAGGUGUAGCGGUGAAAUGCGUAGAUAUCUGGAGGAAUACCGGUGGCGAAGGCGGCAUCCUGGACCGACAUUGACGCUGAGGAGCGAAAGCUAGGGGAGCAAACGGG
This 253-nucleotide ribosomal RNA is filed under the name uncultured bacterium. RNAcentral's name for it is "partial 16S ribosomal RNA". It matches the Rfam family "Bacterial small subunit ribosomal RNA", at positions 524 to 776 of the family's 1533-position model. The record is from RNAcentral.